UACGGAGGGUGCAAGCAUUAAUCGGAAUUAUUGGGCGUAAAGGGCGCGUAGGCGGGUCGAAAAGUUAGGUGUGAAAUUCCACAACUCAAUUGAGGAACUGCAUCUAAAACUCUUGAUCUAGAGGUAAGACGGAGGAAAUGGAAUUCCACGUGUAGCGGUGAAAUGCGUAGAUAUGUGGAAGAACACCUGUGGCGAAAGCGGUUUUCUAGUUUAAACCUGACGCUGAGGCGCGAGAGCAAGGGGAGCAAACAGG
This 253-nucleotide ribosomal RNA is filed under the name uncultured bacterium. RNAcentral's name for it is "partial 16S ribosomal RNA". It matches the Rfam family "Bacterial small subunit ribosomal RNA", at positions 524 to 776 of the family's 1533-position model. The record is from RNAcentral.